GGGAACGUGAGCUGGGAGACCGUCGUGAGACAGGUUAGUUUUACCCUACUGUUGUUCGAUCCCGCCAUAGUAAUCCGACUCAGUACGAGAGGAACCGUCGGUUCGGAUAAUUGGUAUGCGCUCGCCUGCCCCGGCGAUGGCGCAAGGCUACCAUCCGUAGGACGACUGAACGCCUCUAAGUCGGAAGCCGUGCUAGGCGCGGGGUCCCACUCUCCCAAUGCCGCCUCACCCGACUCACCAUAGGCCGGGUAGUCCUUCCCGGUCCAAGAGCAUACCCGUUGGUUGCUGGGCCGGACCGAGUACACCUCCCUCCAGCCCACCCAAGCAUCGCACUUUCGCUCGCGCAUUGGGGUAAAUCCUUGGUAGACCACCCUGAUUCCCGUCGCGG
This 388-nucleotide ribosomal RNA is filed under the name Auxenochlorella protothecoides. RNAcentral's name for it is "LSU rRNA". It matches the Rfam family "Eukaryotic large subunit ribosomal RNA", at positions 2946 to 3332 of the family's 3401-position model. Lineage: Eukaryota; Viridiplantae; Chlorophyta; Trebouxiophyceae; Chlorellales; Chlorellaceae. The record is from RNAcentral.